GUCCCCUUGAGGACAUCCGAUAAAAUUGAAACAAUAUAGAGAAGAUAAGCAUGACUCUUGCACAACAAUCGAAAUCCUUGGGCUAUUAGUAUCAGCAGUUAAAU
Capsicum annuum is the source of this 104-nucleotide non-coding RNA. NCBI's taxonomy places the organism in Eukaryota, Viridiplantae, Streptophyta, Magnoliopsida, Solanales, Solanaceae. The record is from Rfam.